UACGGAGGGGGUUAGCGUUGUUCGGAAUGACUGGGCGUAAAGCGCGUGUAGGCGGCCCUGCAAGUCGGGUGUGAAAUCCCACGGCUCAACCGUGGAAGUGCACUCGAAACUGCAGGGCUAGAGUCCUGGAGAGGAAGGUGGAAUGCUUGGUGUAGAGGUGAAAUUCGUAGAUAUCAAGCGGAACACCGGUGGCGAAGGCGGGUCUCUGGGCCGUAACUGACGCUGAGGCGCGACAGCGUGGGGAGCAAACAGG
Molecule: ribosomal RNA, 253 nt
Filed under: uncultured bacterium
Lineage: Bacteria
Description: partial 16S ribosomal RNA
Rfam family: Bacterial small subunit ribosomal RNA
Source: RNAcentral